This 353-nucleotide transfer-messenger RNA is filed under the name Terriglobia bacterium. It matches the Rfam family "transfer-messenger RNA". Rfam says of the family: Bacterial tmRNA, also known as 10Sa RNA or SsrA, is named for its dual tRNA and mRNA-like properties. Lineage: Bacteria; Pseudomonadati; Acidobacteriota; Terriglobia. RNAcentral also lists the same sequence under 1 other name. The record is from RNAcentral.
GGGGGCGUACCGGGUUCGACGGGGGACAUGUUGGGUCGCCGGCAGCGUGCCGUGGCCCGCCGCCACGCUAAACAGGCGGACACACAUAGCUGCCAACACUGAGCUAGCACUGGCUGCUUAACCGCAGUCACGUCGUGAUCGCCGGCUCUCGCCUGCGAACCUGAUCACGGCGCCGCCAAAGCAGGCUGGACCGCCGCCGCGCCCGGGAGCGGCGGUCGAGACGCUCCGGGCUGGCCGCGACGGACGGGAGCCUACACCCAGCCGCUGCGGCGAGAUCCAAUCGUAGGCUGCGCACGGAGACACCUGCGGCCCAAGUCUUCCGGACGGGGGUUCGAUUCCCCCCGCCUCCACCA